GGCGGGGGAAGCUCAUCAACGGGGCCACGCGCUGAGUGCUCGUCACUCCCCAGCCCCUGGGAAGGUCUGAGACUGGGGCCUCCCGCGGCCCUAACCGGGCUCUCCCCGCGGGGAGGUGAGUUCCCAGAGAGCAGGGCUCCACGCGUGGGCAGACUGGGCAGGAGAUGCCCCGAGUGGGCGGAUGCCUCCCUCGCCGGAGCUUGGAACAGACUCACGGCCAGCGCAGAGCGAGUUCACUUCUACUUCCUCACUGUAAUUUUGCUACUGUUAUAAACUGUAAUGUAAAUAUCUGUAUUUUUCCAAUGGUC
RNAcentral lists this RNase P RNA (308 nucleotides) under Meriones unguiculatus (Mongolian gerbil). RNAcentral's name for it is "Nuclear RNase P (ENSMUGG00000013698.1)". It matches the Rfam family "Nuclear RNase P", at positions 1 to 251 of the family's 301-position model. Rfam says of the family: Ribonuclease P (RNase P) is a ubiquitous endoribonuclease, found in archaea, bacteria and eukarya as well as chloroplasts and mitochondria. Its best characterised activity is the generation of mature 5'-ends of tRNAs by cleaving the 5'-leader elements of precursor-tRNAs. The record is from RNAcentral. Lineage: Eukaryota; Metazoa; Chordata; Mammalia; Rodentia; Muridae.